Molecule: long non-coding RNA, 638 nt
Organism: Orcinus orca (killer whale)
Lineage: Eukaryota; Metazoa; Chordata; Mammalia; Artiodactyla; Delphinidae
Exons: 3
Source: RefSeq, a predicted model, not a curated record
AACUUUUUUUGAAGAACAGCAUUUGAUUCGUAAGAGCAUCUUGUAAAGCCAUUCUUUUGGUUUCGGUGUUACAUCUGGGUUCGACUGUCUUCAUUUCUACCAGGAAAACACCAUCUCUGCCAUAGAAUGUGGUUGCGAGUGACUUAGAUAACAACCAUCGUUCCUGGAGAAUUUACUGGACACUUUGACAUCAUGUUAUUUCAUCACAACUCACAAAAACACAACCAAAUAGAUGCUACUGUUGCCAUGUUUCAGCGUCCUUAUAAGAAGAGAAAAAGACACCAGGCCACGUGAGGACACAGAGAGAAGGCAUUCCUCUGCAGGACAAACCAGCCCUGCCGGCACCUUGAUCUUGGACUUCCAGCCUCCAGAACUGUGAGAAAAUUAAUGUCUGUUGUUUAAGCUACCCAGUCUGUGGUAUUUUGUUAUGGCAGCCCAGGCAGACUAAUAUAGAUUUCUUUAAAUUUACCUACUGUAAGUACAUAGUUCAAUGAUAUUUAGUAAAUUUAUCCCAUUUUAGAAUAUUUAGAAUGUUCUAAAAUCCCAUUUUAGAACAAUUUUCAUCACCAGAAAAUUUCCCUUCAGCUGGGUUGCAGUCAAGCCACUCCCACUCCCAGCCCCAGGCAACCACUGACCUG